RNAcentral lists this ribosomal RNA (460 nucleotides) under uncultured bacterium. RNAcentral's name for it is "partial 16S ribosomal RNA". It matches the Rfam family "Bacterial small subunit ribosomal RNA", at positions 338 to 795 of the family's 1533-position model. The record is from RNAcentral.
CCUACGGGUGGCUGCAGUGAGGAAUAUUGGUCAAUGGACGAGAGUCUGAACCAGCCAAGUAGCGUGAGGGAUGACUGCCCUAUGGAUUGUAAACUUCUUUUGUAUGGGAGUAAACUGUUCCACGUGUGGGUUUUUGUGUGUACCAUAUGAAUAAGGAUCGGCUAACUCCGUGCCAGCAGCCGCGGUAAUACGGAGGAUCCGAGCGUUAUCCGGAUUUAUUGGGGUUAAAGGGUGCGUAGGUGGGUUGUUAAGUCAGUUGUGAAAGUUUGCGGCCCAACCGCAAAAUUGCAGUUGAAACUGGCAGUCUUGAGUAGAGUAGAGGUGGGCGGAAUUCGUGGUGUAGCGGUGAAAUGCUUAGAUAUCACGAAGAACUCCGAUUGCGAAGGCAGCAUACCGGACUGCAACUGACACUGAGGCUCGAAAGUGUGGGUAUCAAACAGGAUUAGAUACCCUAGUAGUC